GGGGGGGGUGGUGUGGCGGGCAUAGAGGGGGUCACAGCUCACAGAGAAGGUGGUGGAAGAGGCAAAGUAAAUUAUAAUAAUCACACUAAAAGAAUCAAUAACAAGAACACAAAUUACUCAUAUGCCAGUGAAAUAUACAUCAAACCAUGUUUGCAUACAUGAACAUGGCCACAGUCCUAUAAUUUUCUCUGAUUUGGAAAUUGUAUGAGACCAUGUCAUCUCAAUACCUGUGCUAGUAUGCAUUACAUCCCACUGUAAGCUAAGAUGAUGCCCACUUCCAGAUAGGUUCCAUGACAAUGCCUUUGAUUGGGUUGAAGUUAAUUUUUAAGGAAAAUUUUAUUAAGGAUGCAUUGAUGGAGGAUUGUGUUAAGUGAUUUGAGAAGUUUGUUGGCAUUUGCUUUUUUGUUACUUUUUUUUUCUGUUUUUGGUUGAAUGGAGUGGUUUUGGAUUGAAUUUGGUUUGUGGUUUUCUAGCUGUAAUGACAGUGUGAGAGAGUUUUUUUCCUUUUUUUCGUUUCUUUUUGGGUGGUGAGGUGGGUAGAGAGAGAGCAAGAGAGAGAGA
Molecule: unclassified non-coding RNA, 561 nt
Filed under: Hevea brasiliensis (rubber tree)
Lineage: Eukaryota; Viridiplantae; Streptophyta; Magnoliopsida; Malpighiales; Euphorbiaceae
Source: RNAcentral